ACUACGGGUGGCAGCAGUGGGGAAUAUUGCACAAUGGGGGAAACCCUGAUGCAGCGACACCGCGUGAAGGAAGAAGUAUUUCGGUAUGGAAACUUCUAUCAGCAGGGAAGUAAAUGACGGUACCUGACUAAGAAGCCCCGGCUAACUACGUGCCAGCAGCCGCGGCAACAGGGAGGGUGCAAGCGUUAUCCGGAUUUACUGGGUGUAAAGGGAGAGUAGGCGGGUUAGCAAGUCAGAAGUGAAAGGCCGGGGCUCAACUCCGGGACUGCUUUUGACACUGUUGGACUAGAGUGCAGGAGAGGUAAGUGGAAUUCCUGGGGUAGCGGUGAAAUGCGUAGAUAGUAGGAAGAACACCAGUGGCGAAGGCAGCUUACUGGACUGUAAAUGACGCUGAGGCUCGAAAGCGUGGGGAGCAAACAGGACGAGAUACCCUAGUAGUC
RNAcentral lists this ribosomal RNA (440 nucleotides) under uncultured bacterium. Its description in RNAcentral is "partial 16S ribosomal RNA". It matches the Rfam family "Bacterial small subunit ribosomal RNA", at positions 338 to 795 of the family's 1533-position model. The record is from RNAcentral.